Molecule: ribosomal RNA, 468 nt
Filed under: uncultured bacterium
Lineage: Bacteria
Description: partial 16S ribosomal RNA
Rfam family: Bacterial small subunit ribosomal RNA
Source: RNAcentral
GACGAACGCUGGCGGCGUGCUUAACACAUGCAAGUCGAACGGAAAGGCCCUGCUUUUGUGGGGUGCUCGAGUGGCGAACGGGUGAGUAACACGUGAGUAACCUGCCCUUGACUUUGGGAUAACUUCAGGAAACUGGGGCUAAUACCGGAUAGGAGCUCCUGCUGCAUGGUGGGGGUUGGAAAGUUUCGGCGGUUGGGGAUGGACUCGCGGCUUAUCAGCUUGUUGGUGGGGUAGUGGCUUACCAAGGCUUUGACGGGUAGCCGGCCUGAGAGGGUGACCGGCCACCUGGGGCCUGAGAUACGGCCCAGACUGCUACGGGAGGCAGCAGUGGGGAAUAUUGCACAAUGGGCCGAAGCCUGAUGCAGCAACGCCGCGUGCGGGAUGCCGGGCUUCGGGUUGUAAACCGCUUUCGCCUGUGACGAAGCGUGAGUGACGGUAAUGGGUAAAGAAGCACCGGCUAACUACGUG